GUGGCUCAGUGGUAGAGCUCUUGCCUUGCAUGCAUGAAGCCCUGGGUUUGAUUCCUCAGC
RNAcentral lists this transfer RNA (60 nucleotides) under Dipodomys ordii (Ord's kangaroo rat). It matches the Rfam family "tRNA", at positions 7 to 64 of the family's 71-position model. Rfam says of the family: Transfer RNA (tRNA) molecules are approximately 80 nucleotides in length. Their secondary structure includes four short double-helical elements and three loops (D, anti-codon, and T loops). Further hydrogen bonds mediate the characteristic L-shaped molecular structure. tRNAs have two regions of fundamental functional importance: the anti-codon, which is responsible for specific mRNA codon recognition, and the 3' end, to which the tRNAs corresponding amino acid is attached (by aminoacyl-tRNA synthetases). tRNAs cope with the degeneracy of the genetic code in two manners: having more than one tRNA (with a specific anti-codon) for a particular amino acid; and 'wobble' base-pairing, i.e. permitting non-standard base-pairing at the 3rd anti-codon position. The record is from Rfam by way of RNAcentral. Lineage: Eukaryota; Metazoa; Chordata; Mammalia; Rodentia; Heteromyidae.